UCUGCCUGCAGACAGAGAAGCGUCCUAAAAUCAGAAGGAGGUGGAUGACGUUUAUUCGUUCUCUCCAGUGUCGACGGUGAACUGUGAUCACAGCAGCAGGAGAUAUUUUUAGGUCCAGGCAUACAGAUUUAAUAAGUCACUCUGACUGAAUUUAACACACACACUCACCCUAUUCUGAAAGCUGCUGGAGCACAAAUAUGGAAGUGGGUAAUAUUUCAUUAUGCACCAUGGGCGAGGCAGCCGACCUAUCUUUAGAGCAAAUGCAUAAUUUAGUGAGUCCUCUCUCCUCCAACAUGCAGCAUAUUAUCACACCAUUACCACGGUGUUCAGAUGUCCAUCACACCACCUCAGACUCAGCAGAGAUCUACAGACGUUCCUCCUCCUGGUUAAACCAGAGCCCAGAGGAAAUCAGACGAGUUACAUUGUCCCACAGAGCAGAGGAAGAGCAAACAUGUUCAGCAACUGUCUAGAAAAGAGGAGGAGAGGAGAGAAGAGUGUGUGUGUGUGUGUGUGUGUGUGUGUGUGUGCCAACUGAAGCACUGACAGAAGAAACAACUUGAAGCACUAAAUUGUUUUUUACAACCAUGUGACCCAGUUAUGUAACAGUGACGUAAAACAAAAACAUCCUGUUCUACAAGUCAAGGAUUCAGGUGAUUUAUGUGUUGUUGUAUAAUUAAAGGGACGAUAACAA
Molecule: long non-coding RNA, 691 nt
Organism: Lates calcarifer (barramundi perch)
Lineage: Eukaryota; Metazoa; Chordata; Actinopteri; Centropomidae
Exons: 2
Source: RefSeq, a predicted model, not a curated record